GCCGAAGUAGCUCAGUGGUAGAGCAGCUGAUUCGUAAUCAGCAGGUCGCGGGUUCAAUCCCCGCCUUCGGCUCCA
RNAcentral lists this transfer RNA (75 nucleotides) under Spartobacteria bacterium. RNAcentral's name for it is "tRNA-Thr". It matches the Rfam family "tRNA". Rfam says of the family: Transfer RNA (tRNA) molecules are approximately 80 nucleotides in length. Their secondary structure includes four short double-helical elements and three loops (D, anti-codon, and T loops). Lineage: Bacteria; Pseudomonadati; Verrucomicrobiota; Spartobacteria. RNAcentral also lists the same sequence under 2 other names. The record is from RNAcentral.